CAGAAUGAUAUAUAUAUUUCUUGAUUAUGUUCUUAACCCAAGAUGAGUUUUACUUUGUUUAAAAAAAUAUGUUUAAAUAGCAAGGUUGAAAGAUUGCUAUGUUUCUAAAAAUUGUGACAAAUGUCCAUCAAUUAAUGGGUUUUAAAAAUGUCAUACAGCAACUUAUAUGAAAUAUGAAAGUGUGUUUGUUUGCUAUUGUAAUUAAUUGGGCUAUUGAGAAUUUUGGGGAUAUUGAUAUUUACAUAUUUGUACUACUGUAUUUUUAAAAAAUGAAAAAUUGUUAACCUUGUUCAAUUCAUUUGCCUUCUACUCACAGUGGAGCAUGGCCAGAUAUUAAGAGGAAAUGGAUCUCAUUUUUGGAUACCAUACCAAAGGCAAGAAUGUGGAGAAAACAGGAUGCUUUAGGGAAGACAAUGGAAUUUUACAGGUCAGAGAAUUAAGAAACAAAACAAAAUUUCCUGACAAUUGAAACUAUACAACAUGAUGAUUGAAUGGAUUCCUUUUCACUAAUAGUCUUCAAACAAAGGUUGGCUGCUGGAUCAAAAUUUUUUGGAACAUUUUUGGAAGGUAUGUCAAUAAGAAAAAAGAACAAAAAGGUCCCAGCUGUGAGGAUGAGUGAUAGAGAUGGAAGGACUGGCAAUGAUUCACUUUGUUUUGAAACUGAAAAGAGAAGAAAAGUCAGAAAAGGAAGAAGAGACAUACUGUGAUGAAAGAAUACAGCCUUGUGAGAGCUACUGAUAAAUUGAUGUUAUCUGAAUGUUCAGGAGCCAUGCUACCUUCCCAGGACAUUAAUACCAGACAUGACAGAGGCCCUUUCAAAACCUAGCAAAUCUGAAGACUUGUAUCCAUGAUCUUAUUGAUUGAUAAGGGAGUACAUGACACUGGAAGGAUAUGAGAGGACAUAAUUAUAUAGCCUUAAGGACAGGUACUAUUUUCCCUUGAUUUUCCUUGGAAUUUAGUAUGGCUUCUUGAACAUUACACGUUCUUAAUAAAUGUUUGUUGAUCUCAGCCCUCUGAGCCA
RNAcentral lists this long non-coding RNA (1021 nucleotides) under Monodelphis domestica (gray short-tailed opossum). Its description in RNAcentral is "lncRNA (ENSMODG00000046050.1)". The record is from RNAcentral. Lineage: Eukaryota; Metazoa; Chordata; Mammalia; Didelphimorphia; Didelphidae.